GCGAAACAUGGCUCUCCUUAUUCUUUCUUCGGGGUGCCACAUCAUCCCAUCACCGCUAGGAGGCGACAAAGCAGCACGGCCUAAUCAUAGUCUACUGAUGUCUGAUCAAGUUACCGUGCAGGAAUCAUGAAAAGCUAAAGUUCAAUUCAUUUUUAAGCAGUAGACGACCCCUCCCUGUGAUGUGUCGAGGAGGCAGACAUUGUCACCAACAGAUUUCUAAGUGGGCUCUGCACAUGGUGAAAAAAGAAUGCCAGGGGAUUCACACAGAGAGGAUAAAAAGCAGAGGAGGUCACACUCCUUUCAUUUCCUCACAGAAGGCAACAAGCACAUCUUAGUGGAGUGGAAAACAAAAGGGCGCCACAGGGGAGAUGGAUGGCUGCUGUGUGUAUACUGAAAGCUGAGACAGAGCAGGAACCUGCACACACCUUUGGAGGGGCCAGUCGCUUGUCCUGAAGGUGUUCAUAUUUGCAUUCUUCAUCCCACUAACACCUCUGUCUGUUCUUUUGAAGUCUGGAGAAGAAGAAGCGCAUACCAGCUGUAUAUGUUAUGGUCGUUUUGGAGUCAUAAUAUGUAUUGGUAAAACUAAUUGGCUUUAUGAAUAAUCCAUUUUUAUGAGCAAACAGAUACACAAAGGAGCA
Molecule: long non-coding RNA, 638 nt
Organism: Perca flavescens (yellow perch)
Lineage: Eukaryota; Metazoa; Chordata; Actinopteri; Perciformes; Percidae
Exons: 3
Source: RefSeq, a predicted model, not a curated record